ACUCCUACGGGAGGCAGCAGUGGGGAAUAUUGGACAAUGGGGGCAACCCUGAUCCAGCAAUGCCGCGUGAGUGAUGAAGGCCUUCGGGUUGUAAAGCUCUUUUGGCGGGGACGAUGAUGACGGUACCCGCAGAAUAAGCCCCGGCUAACUUCGUGCCAGCAGCCGCGGUAAUACGAAGGGGGCUAGCGUUGUUCGGAAUUACUGGGCGUAAAGGGCGCGUAGGCGGUCCUGAUCGUCGGAUGUGAAAGGCCUGGGCUCAACCUGGGAACUGCAUCCGAUACGGCGGGACUGGAGUGUGGGAGAGGUUGGUGGAAUUCCCAGUGUAGAGGUGAAAUUCGUAGAUAUUGGGAAGAACACCGGUGGCGAAGGCGGCCAACUGGACCACAACUGACGCUGAGGCGCGAAAGCGUGGGGAGCAAACAGGAUUAGAUACCCUGGUAGUCCACGCUGUAAACGAUGCGUGCUAGACGUUGGGCACCCUAGGUGUCCGGUGUCGUCGCUAACGCUUUAAGCACGCCGCCUGGGGAGUACGGCCGCAAGGUUAAAACUCAAAGGAAUUGAC
RNAcentral lists this ribosomal RNA (562 nucleotides) under uncultured Alphaproteobacteria bacterium. RNAcentral describes it as "bacterial SSU rRNA". It matches the Rfam family "Bacterial small subunit ribosomal RNA", at positions 335 to 914 of the family's 1533-position model. The record is from RNAcentral. Lineage: Bacteria; Pseudomonadati; Pseudomonadota; Alphaproteobacteria.